RNAcentral lists this ribosomal RNA (497 nucleotides) under uncultured bacterium. RNAcentral describes it as "partial 16S ribosomal RNA". It matches the Rfam family "Bacterial small subunit ribosomal RNA", at positions 28 to 507 of the family's 1533-position model. The record is from RNAcentral.
GAUGAACGCUGGCGGCGUGCCUAAUACAUGCAAGUCGAGCGAACAGACGAGGAGCUUGCUCCUCUGACGUUAGCGGCGGACGGGUGAGUAACACGUGUAUAACCUACCUAUAAGACUGGGAUAACUUCGGGAAACCGGAGCUAAUACCGGAUAAUAUAUUGAACCGCAUGGUUCAAUAGUGAAAGACGGUUUUGCUGUCACUUAUAGAUGGCUCCGCGCCGCAUUAGCUAGUUGGUAAGGUAACGGCUUACCAAGGCGACGAUGCGUAGCCGACCUGAGAGGGUGAUCGGCCACACUGGAACUGAGACACGGUCCAGACUCCUACGGGAGGCAGCAGUAGGGAAUCUUCCGCAAUGGGCGAAAGCCUGACGGAGCAACGCCGCGUGAGUGAUGAAGGUCUUCGGAUCGUAAAACUCUGUUAUUAGGGAAGAACAAAUGUGUAAGUAACUAUGCACGUCUUGACGGUACCUAAUCAGAAAGCCACGGCUAACUACGUG